Molecule: ribosomal RNA, 1065 nt
Filed under: Alpinaria rhododendri
Lineage: Eukaryota; Fungi; Ascomycota; Dothideomycetes; Pleosporales; Melanommataceae
Description: SSU rRNA
Rfam family: Eukaryotic small subunit ribosomal RNA
Source: RNAcentral
CAGAUAGCAUGCCAUGUCUAAGUAUAAGCAAUUAUACCGUGAAACUGCGAAUGGCUCAUUAAAUCAGUUAUCGUUUAUUUGAUAGUACCUUACCACUUGGAUAACCGUGGUAAUUCUAGAGCUAAUACAUGCUAAAAACCCCGACUUCGGAAGGGGUGUGUUUAUUAGAUAAAAAACCAAUGCCCUUCGGGGCUCUUUGGUGAUUCAUGAUAACCUAACGGAUCGCAUGGCCUUGCGCCGGCGACGGUUCAUUCAAAUUUCUGCCCUAUCAACUUUCGAUGGUAAGGUAUUGGCUUACCAUGGUUUCAACGGGUAACGGGGAAUUAGGGUUCGAUUCCGGAGAGGGAGCCUGAGAAACGGCUACCACAUCCAAGGAAGGCAGCAGGCGCGCAAAUUACCCAAUCCCGACACGGGGAGGUAGUGACAAUAAAUACUGAUACAGGGCUCUUUUGGGUCUUGUAAUUGGAAUGAGUACAAUUUAAACCCCUUAACGAGGAACAAUUGGAGGGCAAGUCUGGUGCCAGCAGCCGCGGUAAUUCCAGCUCCAAUAGCGUAUAUUAAAGUUGUUGCAGUUAAAAAGCUCGUAGUUGAAACUUGGGUCUGGCUAGCGGGUCCGCCUCACCGCGUGCACUUGUCCGGCUGGACCUUUCCUUCUGGAGAACCUCAUGCCCUUCACUGGGUGUGUUGGGGAACCAGGACUUUUACUUUGAAAAAAUUAGAGUGUUCAAAGCAGGCCUUUGCUCGAAUACGUUAGCAUGGAAUAAUAGAAUAGGACGUGCGGUCCUAUUUUGUUGGUUUCUAGGAUCGCCGUAAUGAUUAAUAGGGAUAGUCGGGGGCAUCAGUAUUCAAUUGUCAGAGGUGAAAUUCUUGGAUUUAUUGAAGACUAACUACUGCGAAAGCAUUUGCCAAGGAUGUUUUCAUUAAUCAGUGAACGAAAGUUAGGGGAUCGAAGACGAUCAGAUACCGUCGUAGUCUUAACCGUAAACUAUGCCGACUAGGGAUCGGGCGAUGUUUCUAUCUUGACUCGCUCGGCACCUUACGAGAAAUCAAAGUUUUGGUCUGGGG